AUUUGUAUUUUGCCUUCCCGUCUUCGUUUUUCUUUUUGUUUGCGUUGUUAUGUAUCUCAUUUUUUUUUCUUUGUUUGCAGUGUUUUUCUCCUUCUCAUGAUGGUUUCUUGUGUGAUUUCUCUUAGUUUUUCUCCUUCUGAAGUUUGUAUGAUUUCUUGUAUUAUUUCUCUGUUUUGGGUGAUUUUCUACAGAAGUAGGUAGGAUUUGCAUUUCCUUCGUUAUUAGUGUCGAGAGAAGCUGAGAAUGUCACGAAUGCGGGGAAGUGCUACAGGACAUGGCAACCGAGAAACUUUCUUUUGAAUGGAGAAAGGUGCUUCAUAGAGGACAUACUAAUUGCAGUCCCUAAUUAUAUAAGCUGAACAACAAGAGAGAUUGGGCAGUAGUUACAAGUCACCGUAGAAAAAUUUUAGAACUGUUUUUGCUUUUUCAAUAUUUUAACUAAUAAAUUGAAUGUCUCACACACAUUAUAUAUACACUACUUGCAAUACCUAUUUAUAUUAUGCACAUCAGUACUAUUUUUAAAAAUGCACUUUCGGUGAACAAUGGUGAAGCAUAUGUGAAUUAUUUCACUUGGGUGUUGAAUUUAAAA
Cryptomeria japonica (Japanese cedar) is the source of this 589-nucleotide long non-coding RNA. RefSeq lists it as uncharacterized. The record is from RefSeq and is a predicted model, not a curated record. The transcript has 3 exons. Lineage: Eukaryota; Viridiplantae; Streptophyta; Pinopsida; Cupressales; Cupressaceae.